AGUCAAGAUAAUCAAUGUUUUCACACCGGUCUUGAAAACCGGCGUGCAGGAGACUGUACCGUGGGUUCGAAUCCCACCCCCUCCGCCA
RNAcentral lists this transfer RNA (88 nucleotides) under Ochrobactrum sp. RH2CCR150. RNAcentral describes it as "tRNA-Ser". It matches the Rfam family "tRNA", at positions 9 to 71 of the family's 71-position model. From Rfam's summary of the family: Transfer RNA (tRNA) molecules are approximately 80 nucleotides in length. Their secondary structure includes four short double-helical elements and three loops (D, anti-codon, and T loops). Further hydrogen bonds mediate the characteristic L-shaped molecular structure. tRNAs have two regions of fundamental functional importance: the anti-codon, which is responsible for specific mRNA codon recognition, and the 3' end, to which the tRNAs corresponding amino acid is attached (by aminoacyl-tRNA synthetases). tRNAs cope with the degeneracy of the genetic code in two manners: having more than one tRNA (with a specific anti-codon) for a particular amino acid; and 'wobble' base-pairing, i.e. permitting non-standard base-pairing at the 3rd anti-codon position. Lineage: Bacteria; Pseudomonadati; Pseudomonadota; Alphaproteobacteria; Hyphomicrobiales; Brucellaceae. The record is from RNAcentral.